AUUCAGAUGAAUUUUAAUAUAAAUCUUGUUGCCUUGUAGCUCCUUGCUCAAUGACGUUUUCAUUGGUGGGCAGAGAGACAAGAUAGCAGAGUAGAAGGACCUUUGGCUCAUCUCCUCUCACAAGCACACCAAAAUCACAACUAACUGCUAAACAACCAUCGAUUAAAAAGACUGGAACCGACCAAAAAAAGGUAUUCUACACCCAAAGACAUAAAGAAGAAACCACAGUGAAACGGAGCUUUAUGAAAUGACCUACUGGGCACAAUUUACUCGGAAGGGUUCCUCUGUGAAACAGUUGAAGACUACACGCUCUCAGAUGUUCACGAUCUCCAGCUACCAGCUCUGACAGGGGUGAGGCAGUUGCAUUCAGGCUUCCUGUUCUCCACCCAUUGCAUAACCUCCACCCCAGCCACGCAGUGAUCAAGGGAUGAUGGCUCAGGAGACUCUGGUAUUGCUGACUACUCUCUGAAGGGUAAUAUGGUCCAGAGGAUUUCUGCAGAAAGGAGUCCUUGACGCCUUGUGUUACAUUAACGUCAUAUGAUCCCUGAGUUCUCAAGGAAACACAGGGGCCAGAGAAACAUAUUAAGUGAUACCAGGGAGAUGGAUGCAACCAACCAAAUCCAGAAUGUGGGAGAAAAUGACAAGAAAGACCAGCUAGCAACUGUGCACAACAAGACACCUCUGAAGAUUCCAGAACCCAGGAGUGGGGUUGAAGCAUACCCUUGGAUCACAGAAACCAGGAAACACUGCAUUAGAAGGCAGGCAAAACUGAGGACUUAAGCCCCGGACACAGCAU
Molecule: long non-coding RNA, 796 nt
Organism: Balaenoptera musculus (blue whale)
Lineage: Eukaryota; Metazoa; Chordata; Mammalia; Artiodactyla; Balaenopteridae
Exons: 6
Source: RefSeq, a predicted model, not a curated record